CAGAGUUGCAAGACUCCCUAAACCAUUGUGAACCUACCUUCUACCGUUGCUUCGGCGGGCGGGCCCAGCGCUCCCCCCGGCCCCCCGCGGGCGCCCGCCGGAGGAUACCCAAACUCUUGACAUUAGUGGCCUCUCUGAGUAUUCUUUACUGAAUAAGUCA
RNAcentral lists this unclassified non-coding RNA (160 nucleotides) under soil metagenome. RNAcentral's name for it is "partial internal transcribed spacer 1". The record is from RNAcentral.